ACGGUACAACGAGUCGCAAGACCGUGAGGUUUUAGCAAAUCUCUUAAAGCCGUUCUCAGUUCGGAUUGUAGGCUGCAACUCGCCUACAUGAAGUCGGAAUCGCUAGUAAUCGCGGAUCAGCAUGCCGCGGUGAAUACGUUCCCGGGCCUUGUACACACCGCCCGUCACACCAUGAGAGUUUGUAACACCCAAAGCCGGUGGGGUAACCUUUUGGAGCCAGCCGUCUAAGGUGGGACAGAUGAUUGGGGUGAAGUCGUAACAAGGUAAC
This 268-nucleotide ribosomal RNA is filed under the name uncultured bacterium. RNAcentral describes it as "partial 16S ribosomal RNA". It matches the Rfam family "Bacterial small subunit ribosomal RNA", at positions 1234 to 1500 of the family's 1533-position model. The record is from RNAcentral.